GCAUAUCAAUAAGCGGAGGAAAAGAAACUAACAAGGAUUCCCUUAGUAGCGGCGAGCGAAGCGGGAAGAGCUCAAAUUUGUAAUCUGGCGUCUUUCAGGCGUCCGAGUUGUAAUCUAUAGAAGUGUUUUCUAUGUCGGACCGUGUCUAAGUCUCUUGGAAUAGAGUAUCAAAGAGGGUGACAAUCCCGUACUUGACAUGACUACCGAUGUUCUGUGAUACAUUUUCUACGAGUCGAGUUGUUUGGGAAUGCAGCUCUAAAUGGGUGGUAAAUUCCAUCUAAAGCUAAAUAUUGGUGAGAGACCGAUAGCGAACAAGUACCGUGAGGGAAAGAUGAAAAGCACUUUGGAAAGAGAGUUAAACAGUACGUGAAAUUGUUGAAAGGGAAACGAUUGAAGUCAGUCAUGUCUGUUGGUUUCAGCUUGCUCUGCAAGUGUAUUACCUUCAGACGGGUCAACAUCAGUUUUGGUGCGGUGGAUAAGAACGGAUUGAAGGUGGCACCCUCGGGUGUGUUAUAGCUUUCUGUUGCAUACGCUGCCUGAGACUGAGGACUGCAGCUCGCGCUCACGCGCCGCCCCUCGGGGACGUUCGAGCUUAGGAUGUUGGCAUAAUGGCUUUAAACGACCCGUCUUGAAACACGGACC
RNAcentral lists this ribosomal RNA (642 nucleotides) under Dioszegia xingshanensis. RNAcentral's name for it is "eukaryotic LSU rRNA". It matches the Rfam family "Eukaryotic large subunit ribosomal RNA", at positions 38 to 667 of the family's 3401-position model. The record is from RNAcentral. Lineage: Eukaryota; Fungi; Basidiomycota; Tremellomycetes; Tremellales; Bulleribasidiaceae.